RNAcentral lists this ribosomal RNA (406 nucleotides) under uncultured bacterium. RNAcentral's name for it is "partial 16S ribosomal RNA". It matches the Rfam family "Bacterial small subunit ribosomal RNA", at positions 30 to 526 of the family's 1533-position model. The record is from RNAcentral.
AUUGAACGCUGGCGGCAGGCCUAACACAUGAAAGUCGAACGAGUGGCGGACGGGUGAGUAAUGUCUGGGAAACUGCCUGAUGGAGGGGGAUAACUACUGGAAACGGUAGCUAAUACAGCAUACCAUCGGAUGUGCCCAGAUGGGAUUAGCUAGUAGGUGGGGUAACGGAUCACCUAGGCGACGAUCCCUCGGGGGUCUGAGAGGAUGACCAGCCACACUGGAACGGAGACACGGUCAAGACUCCUACGGGAGGCAGCAGGGGGGAAUAUUGCACAAUGGGCGCAAGCCUGAUGCAGCCAUGCCGCGUGUAUGAUGAAGGCCUUCGGGUUGUAAAGUACUUUCAGCGGGGAGGCGUUACCCGCAGAAGAAGCACCGGCUAACUCCGUGCCAGCAGCCGCGGUAAUAC